GACGAACGCUGGCGGCGUGCUUAACACAUGCGAGUCGAACGGAAAGGCCCUGCUUUUGUGGGGUGCUCGAGUGGCGAACGGGUGAGUAACACGUGAGUAACCUGCCCUUGACUUUGGGAUAACUUCAGGAAACUGGGGCUAAUCCCGGAUAGGAGCUCCUGCUGCAUGGUGGGGGUUGGAAAGUUUCGGCGGUUGGGGAUGGACUCGCGGCUUAUCAGCUUGUUGGUGGGGUAGUGGCUUACCAAGGCUUUGACGGGUAGCCGGCCUGAGAGGGUGACCGGCCACAUUGGGACUGAGAUACGGCCCAGACGCCUACGGGAGGCAGCAGUGGGGAAUAUUGCACAAUGGGCGGAAGCCUGAUGCAGCAACGCCGCGGGCGGGAUGACGGCCUUCGGGUUGUAAACCGCUUUCGCCUGUGACGAAGCGUGAGUGACGGUAAUGGGUAAAGAAGCACCGGCUAACUACGUG
RNAcentral lists this ribosomal RNA (468 nucleotides) under uncultured bacterium. Its description in RNAcentral is "partial 16S ribosomal RNA". It matches the Rfam family "Bacterial small subunit ribosomal RNA", at positions 28 to 507 of the family's 1533-position model. The record is from RNAcentral.